Molecule: ribosomal RNA, 490 nt
Filed under: uncultured bacterium
Lineage: Bacteria
Description: partial 16S ribosomal RNA
Rfam family: Bacterial small subunit ribosomal RNA
Source: RNAcentral
AGUGAACGCUGGCGGUAGGCCUAACACAUGCAAGUCGAACGGCAGCACAGGAGAGCUUGCUCUCUGGGUGGCGAGUGGCGGACGGGUGAGGAAUACAUCGGAAUCUGCCCAGUCGUGGGGGAUAACGUAGGGAAACUUACGCUAAUACCGCAUACGACCUUCGGGUGAAAGAGGGGGAUCGCAAGACCUCUCGCGAUUGGAUGAGCCGAGGUCGGAUUGGCUAGUUGGCGGGGUAAUGGCCCACCAAGGCGACGAUCCGUAGCUGGUCUGAGAGGAUGAUCAGCCACACUGGAACUGAGACACGGUCCAGACUCCUACGGGAGGCAGCAGUGGGGAAUAUUGGACAAUGGGCGCAAGCCUGAUCCAGCCAUACCGCGUGGGUGAAGAAGGCCUUCGGGUUGUAAAGCCCUUUUGUUGGGAAAGAAAUCUUUCAGGCUAAUACCCUGGGAGGAUGACGGUACCCAAAGAAUAAGCACCGGCUAACUUCGUG